Molecule: non-coding RNA, 29 nt
Filed under: Rattus norvegicus (Norway rat)
Lineage: Eukaryota; Metazoa; Chordata; Mammalia; Rodentia; Muridae
Source: RNAcentral
UCGGAUUAAAUGGCAAUAGUGUGGACAGU